RNAcentral lists this ribosomal RNA (202 nucleotides) under uncultured bacterium. RNAcentral describes it as "partial 16S ribosomal RNA". It matches the Rfam family "Bacterial small subunit ribosomal RNA", at positions 1299 to 1500 of the family's 1533-position model. The record is from RNAcentral.
UGCAGGCUGCAACCCGCCCUGCAUGAAGUUGGAAUCGCUAGUAAUCGCGGAUCAGCAUGCCGCGGUGAAUACGUUCCCGGGCCUUGUACACACCGCCCGUCACACCAUGAGAGUCGGGAACACCCGAAGUCCGUAGCCUAACCGCAAGGGGGCGCGGCCGAAGGUGGGUUCGAUAAUUGGGGUGAAGUCGUAACAAGGUACC